This is a long non-coding RNA of Balaenoptera musculus (blue whale), 1867 nucleotides long. RefSeq lists it as uncharacterized. The record is from RefSeq and is a predicted model, not a curated record. NCBI's taxonomy places the organism in Eukaryota, Metazoa, Chordata, Mammalia, Artiodactyla, Balaenopteridae. The transcript has 5 exons.
CCGAGACCCUUGACUUUGAAUUUCCGUCUCUUGCGGCGGCGGGAAAGCUUCCGCUAGCUCCGGGAUGAAGCUCCACUAAUCCUGCAUCCGCAGACAGCAUCCCUUUCCUAGUCGAGUUAUUCAGGUCUCUGUAUGGGGAACAGCCACAGAUCACAAGGGUGGAAUGAAGAUGGCUAAUUGGGAGUGUCGACUGAAAACUGCACCACCUAAAAGUUGAGAAUUAUGUUUUAUUCAGCGGACAGACUGAGGACUUAAGCCCGGAGACAGCCUCUCACAUAGCUCUGAGGGAUUUCUCCAAAGAGAUUCCAGGGCCAGGAUGGGCCCUCCGUGCCACCUGCCACAGCGCAGCUAGCCCCUCACGGGCACCAGGGCAGGGAGCUGCCACUGACAAAGGGCACCUGCCGGCCCUGCUGGGAGACCCCUCCUCACCCUCGCUGUGGACAGGGCCAGAUAUCAAAGAGGAGAGUGUGGGAAGGCAAAGGAAAAAGACAAAGCCGUCAGGCUGCCCUGCGCUGAGAACAAAUUAAGCCGGCUUAGGAAUAGUUCUUUCAAUUAUGUCCCAGCGAGAGAAAACGUAUGAGGAGGAGCCAAUGCUUGCAACUAGGAGGAGCUGGCCGACCCCAGAGGCAGCCUCGUGUCUACAGGAGGACGGCUGCAAGAACUCUCCGAAUCCCCUGCCAAACCCGGGGACACAGCUGCAGCCCCUCCAGCCAGCCCGGAGAGUGUGAUGGGGGACUGAAGCCCAGACAGAAGAGGAACCUGCUCAAGGUCGCCUGCCCAGUAAGGAGCAGAGCUGGGAUUUGUCCUCUUACACCCUUGGCACAGCACUGCCCCCAGAGCCUGGGACAACACACCUCCUGACUCCCCAUGCCCGGAUGCCGCACCUGGAAGGCAGGAGUGGAAACCUCUUCUGGUUGAGGUUAUCAGGGAAAGCUGGCUAGAGAAAGAGGCAUGUGGGACAGGCCUUGAAGGCUGUGUAGGAUUUCAGUGGUCAGAGAUAAAUGAGGUACAGGGAGAAGCGGACAAAUGCACGAGAAAAGCCUGUUCGGGGCAGUGAAUAAGCCCAGUACCGGGAGUUGCAGGGGAACUGAGCAGGGAAGCGGUGGGCCAGAGUGGGAAGGGCUUGAGCGUUGCAGACAUGGCAGAUCCAAUGUCGGUUCCGCAUCUGGGCUUCGCUCCCACUGCUGCCUGAGAUCUCUCAUGUCUGUGAACGGUGGCAGCUCCCGAAUUUCCACAGGAGGGUUGCCCUGGCCUCCACCUGCCCUUCAGCGCUGCCACUGUCUGUGGGGAGGGUUCUGUGCCCAGACUCACCCUAACCAAGGGCCGGUACCUCGGAGCAUCCAGGGCCAGGCAGGCCGGGUUCAGAGGGGUCUGAGCGCCUGCGUGGGGUUCAGUUCCCCUCCUCUGCCUUCCUUCCCUCACGCUCUCCUUGCUGGGAGCUGGGGUGUAGACAGGUGUGUAGUGGCACAGGUAACAGCAAAGGUAAAAAAUAAAAGCCAGCUGUGCGUGGGCAAAUUGGGAAAAACAAGGAAGGUUAGAAAACGUGGUGUCCGGGGUCUGCACGGGGACCUGCGGAGGGCUGGGCGCGGCCCGGGUCCAGAUUUCCUGAAGAUGGAAUUUCGGGGAGCAGGUGUGAUCCUGGACUGAUAACGUGGCGGGCAGUUCUGGGGGUGGAUGGGGCUCAGGGGCAGCCCUGAGAAAUGUAACUCAGCUGUCUGUGCUUGAGGGGCGGUAGCGUACAAGAACCAGGAAUGGAAGAGGAGAGGGCCCUGGAAGCUCACCUCCAGUCAUCUGGCGUCGACACCAUAGCCUUGUGCCGCCGUGGGCAGAAAACCUCUCGCUUUGAUGAACUUGUCAUAAAGUAAUA